Molecule: long non-coding RNA, 362 nt
Filed under: Linum usitatissimum (flax)
Lineage: Eukaryota; Viridiplantae; Streptophyta; Magnoliopsida; Malpighiales; Linaceae
Description: long non-coding RNA (LUSI_LNC001280)
Source: RNAcentral
AAAUAAAAUACAUUACAAAGAUUGUGAACAGAUUGCGAUGGAUCUGAAUCUGACUUUGCAGCAGGUUAGUUCUGGUUUGUGCUAAUACUGGCAGCUCCUUUUGUGCUUCCUGUUAUUCACCACUUUGCUUUCUGUUUCCUUUUCGCACAAUCGUUGUAGGUGCUUCAUUUCUAUUAUGAUAAGCAUCACAGAAGCUUGGGAAAGUUGGCGAAAAAUGACGGGGAGGAUUCUCAACCAUCAGAUAAUAAAAAACAUUCUUCUCGAAAGCGGAAGACACCGUUGCAAAAUAAUUCACGAAAGAAAGGUUCCGCCGCAAAUGUGGAAUCAGGUGAACUUGAUGAAGUAUCUGAUGGCGUUGGCCA